AGUGUAGCGGUUAGCACGUCUGCUUUACAUGCAGAAGGUCCUGGGUUCGCGCCCAG
RNAcentral lists this transfer RNA (56 nucleotides) under Pteropus alecto (black flying fox). It matches the Rfam family "tRNA", at positions 9 to 63 of the family's 71-position model. Rfam says of the family: Transfer RNA (tRNA) molecules are approximately 80 nucleotides in length. Lineage: Eukaryota; Metazoa; Chordata; Mammalia; Chiroptera; Pteropodidae. The record is from Rfam by way of RNAcentral.